Molecule: ribosomal RNA, 869 nt
Filed under: uncultured bacterium
Lineage: Bacteria
Description: bacterial SSU rRNA
Rfam family: Bacterial small subunit ribosomal RNA
Source: RNAcentral
GACGAACGCUGGCGGCGUGCUUAACACAUGCAAGUCGAACGGAAAGGCCCCUUCGGGGGUGCUCGAGUGGCGAACGGGUGAGUAACACGUGGGUGAUCUGCCCUGCACUUUGGGAUAAGCCUGGGAAACUGGGCCUAAUACCGGAUAGGACUACAUGCUGCAUGGUGUGUGGUGGAAAGUUUUCGGACGGUGUGGGAUGGGCCCGCGGCCUAUCAGCUUGUUGGUGGGGUGAUGGCCUACCAAGGCUUCGACGGGUAGCCGGCCUGAGAGGGUGUCCGGCCACACUGGGACUGAGAUACGGCCCAGACUCCUACGGGAGGCAGCAGUGGGGAAUAUUGCACAAUGGGCGCAAGCCUGAUGCAGCGACGCCGCGUGGGGGAUGACGGCCUUCGGGUUGUAAACCUCUUUCACCAUCGACGAAGGCCCGGUUUUUGCUGGGUUGACGGUAGGUGGAGAAGAAGCACCGGCCAACUACGUGCCAGCAGCCGCGGUAAUACGUAGGGUGCGAGCGUUGUCCGGAAUUACUGGGCGUAAAGGGCUUGUAGGUGGUUUGUCGCGUUGUUCGUGAAAUGCCACAGCUUAACUGUGGGCGUGCGGGCGAUACGGGCAGACUGGAGUACUGCAGGGGAGACUGGAAUUCCUGGUGUAGCGGUGGAAUGCGCAGAUAUCAGGAGGAACACCGGUGGCGAAGGCGGGUCUCUGGGCAGUAACUGACGCUGAGGAGCGAAAGCGUGGGGAGCGAACAGGAUUAGAUACCCUGGUAGUCCACGCCGUAAACGGUGGGUACUAGGUGUGGGUUUCCUUCCUUGGGAUCCGUGCCGUAGCUAACGCAUUAAGUACCCCGCCUGGGGAGUACGGCCGCAAGGCUA